UUAUUGUUUAGUGCUCUAGUAAAGUAAUGGAACUGAUUUUCACUAAAGAAAAGGAGAUAAUUCGUAUGUGUUUUUUACAUGGCACUUCUUGAGUCAGGACAUCUACUUGAUGUUAUUGUUUGCCUUUAUCGACUAUACCUUUUUCUUUAGUCACUGAAUAACUAUUAACAGUAAAAAAAAUUUAAGGGGUCAGCUUGACCUGUACAUUUUUAAUUUAAUCAUGUCUCUUCAUAAAUAGCUUCAAUAAUAUUUGAAUGGAGCUAUAUUAUGGUUGUAACUAAAACUUCAUAUUAGUCACCGGUGACAUUGUGCCCAAAAAUUCUGUUGUUAUAAUUGACAAUGCCUAAGAGUCUCCUAUUCAUAAACUUAUCAGGCUAUCUCCUUUACUAACGAGUAAUUCAAUUUUGUUUUCAGUAUCUCGUUGAUUUUCCAGGGGUUAGGGGAAUAGGUAAACCAGAUGAGACAGGAUUAUAACUAUUUUUCCAACUGUCUUUUUUAUAUGUAGCUGAGAUAAACGAUCUCUUGUUCUUGAUUAACCGAUGCCCUUAAAUUUACUCUUUCUUUACUUGUAAUUGUAAACAUGCUUUUAUAAAAUUGAUUUGUAUCGUUUCCCUUGGAGGAUGUGACGUACUUAUAAUCUUAAUCGCCUCUAGUACACACAUAGAUUCUUGCGAAGAAAAAAUUAAAAAAACUAAGAAUCCAAUAGACAUGUUCUUAAGGUUCUGUUUCCUGAACAGUUUUUUUACUCGAGUUUCCGUCCUCAGAGAGCCAUGCCCUUGUGUUUUAUGUGCUCAAGUGUUUUCUCCAACUCCAAUGUGUGCAUUGAUAUACUAACACUAUGUUUGAUGAGGGGGAAAAGUUGAGGCAUGGACAAGAGAGGAGGGAAACGAGUGAGAGAGGUCAAAUCCUCUUGUUUGGCCAGAAGAAUCAUAGGAAAGAAAGGAAAAUUGGGAGGAUAACAAAUCCACUCAAAUGAACCAUUUAAAAUCCUUUAAUAGAAGGAUUGAUGCUUUCCAUUCUAAUUUAUUCAAAAUUACAAAAUUGUCCUCUAAAGAAAAAAAUAAUUAUGAAAAUAUUUUAGUAGUUUCUUGAAUAAAUAGUGACUUAUUAUUCC
Cannabis sativa is the source of this 1114-nucleotide long non-coding RNA. RefSeq lists it as uncharacterized. The transcript is spliced from 2 exons. Lineage: Eukaryota; Viridiplantae; Streptophyta; Magnoliopsida; Rosales; Cannabaceae. The record is from RefSeq and is a predicted model, not a curated record.